AAAAAGUUAAGAGCAUUCACUUAGGGUGAGUAAGAAAUAAGUUGGGGAGAACGAAAAUGAGAAUCAGUAAGUGCCACAACUCUUGAAAAACCGAGCAAGCAUUGAAAAUAAAAAUUAGAAAAGAAAAACAUCUGUUUUGUAAAUAUGAUGUGAAAGAAAAGAAAAAAAAAUAUAAUAUAGAGAAAAUAAAAAUGAAUGCUUGCUUGGAAGAAAAAUAGUGAAAAACAAAAAUUGAGUUGUGAAAUAAGAGUUGUGAAGGUUUCA
Molecule: long non-coding RNA, 264 nt
Filed under: Lathyrus oleraceus (garden pea)
Lineage: Eukaryota; Viridiplantae; Streptophyta; Magnoliopsida; Fabales; Fabaceae
Description: Pisum sativum (pea) long non-coding RNA (PSAT_LNC040202)
Source: RNAcentral